This 1794-nucleotide long non-coding RNA is filed under the name Salmo salar (Atlantic salmon). Its description in RNAcentral is "lncRNA (ENSSSAG00000120628.1)". Lineage: Eukaryota; Metazoa; Chordata; Actinopteri; Salmoniformes; Salmonidae. The record is from RNAcentral.
GUAUAUCUCUCUCUGGACAGACUGAGCUGUAUAUCUCUCUGGACAGACUGAGCUGUAUAUCUCUCUCUGGACAGACUGAGCUGUAUAUCUCUCUCUGGACAGACUGAGCUGUAUAUCUCUCUCUGGACAGACUGAGCUGUAUAUCUCUCUCUGGACAGACUGAGCUGUAUAUCUCUCUGGACAGACUGAGCUGUAUAUCUCUCUGGACAGACUGAGCUGUAUAUCUCUCUCUAGACAGACUGAGCUGUAUAUCUCUCUCUGGACAGACUGAGCUCUGUAUAUCUCUCUCUCUCAGACAGAUUCCUUUUCAAUCCUUCAAAUACAUCAAAUAACAUUCUGAUUCAUUUGGCCUUUUUGUGUGAGUCCCAUUUCGCUGUAAAUCUGUGGGUAAAUCUUACAACAGGUUUACAUUGUAACGUGUGAUGCUGCAUUGUGUAUUCACAUCUGAUGCUUUAUUCAUUAGGUAUUCAUCAGUAGAAAGCAAUGAGUAUUUAAAUCACAGUACAGACAGUAGUUUCACACACUAACAGAGACUAACAGAGUGUCUGGCAGGUUAGAGCCUGGGGUUAGGGGUCAGGGGUUAGAGGAUAGGGGGUUAGAGGUUAGAGAAUAGGGGUUAGGGGUUAGAGGUUAGGGAAUAGGGGUUAGCGGUUAGGGGUUAGGGGUUAGGGGUCAGAGGAUAGGGGUUAGAGGUUAGGGAAUAGGGGUUAGGGGUUAGAGGUUAGGGGUUAGAGGUUAGGGAAUAGGGGUUAGGGGUUAGAGGUUAGGGAAUAGGGGUUAGAGGUUAGGGGUUAGGGGUCAGAGGAUAGCGGUUAGAGUCAGGCAGUAACAGGUGAUAGCAGCAGCAGCUAGAGAGUAGUCAAGGCCCGUGAUGCUGCAAAGCGUUUCAAUGAGACUCCGUCAUCGCCAACCAAUCAGGUCCUCAGCCUGCUGCGUCUGUCUGCGUGGGGGGAGGGGCCAAAGACUGUCCAGUUAAAGGCCGUCUGUCAGACCAAUCACCUCAAGGCUUCAGCCUCCAUGAAAAAUCACAGGGAUCACAGCAAAACAGCAAUAAGAGCAUCACACGUGUUAUAACAGACGUUACAAGGUGUUAUAACAGAUGUUACAAUGUGUUAUAACAGACGUUACCAUGUUUUAUAACAGUGUUAUGGAUGUAUGAGAUGUUAAAACACAUUGUAACAGUGUUAUAGAUGUAUGAGAUGUUACAAUGUGUUAUAACAGAUGUUACAAUGUGUUAUAACAGUGUUAUAGAUGUAUGAGGACCAUGUAUAUAAUAUAGGAUCAUGUUAACAGACUGCUCUACCUGAGAAAACCUUUUCCACACAGACACUCUUAACUUUCCCAUGGUCACAUCCCACCACAGACAGACAGGGGAUUCAGAACCACAGACAGACAGGGGAUUCAGAACCACAGACAGACAGGGGAUUCAGAACCACAGACAGACAGGGGAUUCAGAACCACAGACAUGUUAACAGACAGACAGGGGAUUCAGAACCACAGACAGACAGGGGAUUCAGAACCACAGACAUACAGGGGAUUCAGAACCACAGACAUGUUAACAGACAGACAGGGGAUUCAGAACCACAGACAGACAGGGGAUUCAGAACCACAGACAGACAGGGGAUUCAGAACCACAGACAGACAGGGGAUUCAGAACCACAGACAGACAGGGGAUUCAGAACCACAGACAUGUUAACAGACAGACAGGGGAUUCAGAUCCACAGACAGACAGGGGAUUCAGAACCACAGACAGACAGGGGAUUCAGAACCACAGACAGACAGGGGAUUCAGAAC